RNAcentral lists this ribosomal RNA (497 nucleotides) under uncultured bacterium. RNAcentral's name for it is "partial 16S ribosomal RNA". It matches the Rfam family "Bacterial small subunit ribosomal RNA", at positions 28 to 507 of the family's 1533-position model. The record is from RNAcentral.
GAUGAACGCUGGCGGCGUGCCUAAUACAUGCAAGUCGAGCGAACAGACGAGGAGCUUGCUCCUCUGACGUUAGCGGCGGACGGGUGAGUAACACGUGGAUAACCUACCUAUAAGACUGGGAUAACUUCGGGAAACCGGAGCUAAUACCGGAUAAUAUAUUGAACCGCAUGGUUCAAUAGUGAAAGACGGUUUUGCUGUCACUUAUAGAUGGAUCCGCGCCGCAUUAGCUGGUUGGUAAGGUAACGGCUUACCAAGGCAACGAUGCGUAGCCGACCUGAGAGGGUGAUCGGCCACAUGGGAACGGGGACACGGUCAAGACUCCUACGGGAGGCAGCAGUAGGGAAUCUUCGGCAGUGGGCGAAAGCCUGACGGAGCAAGCCCGCGUGAGUGAUGAAGGUCUUCGGAUCGUAAAACUCUGUUAUUAGGGAAGAACAAAUGUGUAAGUAACUGUGCACGUCUUGACGGUACCUAAUCAGAAAGCCACGGCUAACUACGUG